Patella vulgata (common limpet) is the source of this 774-nucleotide long non-coding RNA. RefSeq lists it as uncharacterized. The record is from RefSeq and is a predicted model, not a curated record. Lineage: Eukaryota; Metazoa; Mollusca; Gastropoda; Patellidae. The transcript has 4 exons.
GCUAAAUUUUAACUUUUUUCAGUUUGAGAUUGAAACUUUAUUAUAGGACAACAUAAAGUAUCAAGUCUUUACAAAUUAAAUUGUUUUUGUAUUGGAAGUGAAUUUGAUAAAUUAAAGAUGGUCCUAUUAAUAAACUCCAAUUUAUGCAAUGUACUUUAAACUUCAUUGACUAGUUACAUGUAGGCGUAAAACGUGUAGUGAUUAAGCCGGAUAUAUUAACCAUUGAAAUAUAUAGACCGCCGCCAGAGUUAUCACCUGUAUCUUGUUUCAUUAUCAACGGAAUUAAUAAUCCUGGAUAGAGCAAGAGAUAAAAAGUUACGAUGGACGAUACUCCAUCCAGAUCAUUGGACAAAGAACGAGGUUCAAGAUUGGUUAAAGUAUGUACUGGAGAAAAAUAAGAUAACUGGAAAUGAUAAGUACGCCAUACUGGAAGCUUUUGAUGACGUGGAUGGCCAUCAGUUAAUUAAAAUGUCUGCGGCUAAUUUUAAAGAUUUAGAUAUGGAAUAUGGUGAAUUACUUUUUAAAACAUUUAAAGGAUUACUCCCAAGCCAUGAUCAACAGUUCACCAAACCAUCUCCAGAUUCAUCUGAUGAGGGCGCAGAAACAAGUUCUAAAUCUGCAUCUGGAUCUAGUCAAAAAACUGGCAUAUAGAGAGAAUAGUGGCACCUAUUUUAGACAAUACUAUAUUUUUACUUUCUAUGUUAGUUUUUAAAGUCUAUUUUUAAAAAAUGUUUUAUUUUCAAAAGAUCAAAAUUAUUUACAACGUUAUUCAAU